AGCAGGUGAAAACAUUAACAUUACAGUCAAUGGGUACAGCAGGUGAGAAACACAUUAUCAUUACAGUCAAUGGGUACAGCAGGUGAGAAACACAUUAUCAUUACAGUCAAUGGGUACAGCAGGUGAGAAACACAUUAUCAUUACAGUCAAUGGGUACAGCAGGUGAGAAACACAUUAUCAUUACAGUCAAUGGGUACAGC
This is a long non-coding RNA of Oncorhynchus keta (chum salmon), 200 nucleotides long. RefSeq lists it as uncharacterized. Lineage: Eukaryota; Metazoa; Chordata; Actinopteri; Salmoniformes; Salmonidae. The record is from RefSeq and is a predicted model, not a curated record. The transcript has 3 exons.